RNAcentral lists this ribosomal RNA (492 nucleotides) under uncultured bacterium. Its description in RNAcentral is "partial 16S ribosomal RNA". It matches the Rfam family "Bacterial small subunit ribosomal RNA", at positions 29 to 507 of the family's 1533-position model. The record is from RNAcentral.
AGUGAACGCUGGCGGUAGGCCUAACACAUGCAAGUCGAACGGCAGCACAGUAAGGGCUUGCUCUUACGGGUGGCGAGUGGCGGACGGGAGAGGAAUACAUCGGAAUCUACUUUUUCGUGGGGGAUAACGUAGGGAAACUUACGCUAAUACCGCAUACGACCUACGGGUGAAAGCAGGGGAUCUUCGGACCUUGCGCGAUUGAAUGAGCCGAUGUCGGAUUAGCUAGUUGGCGGGGUAAAGGCCCACCAAGGCGACGAUCCGUAGCUGGUCUGAGAGGAUGAUCGGCCACACUGGAACUGAGACACGGUCCAGACUCCUACGGGAGGCAGCAGUGGGGAAUAUUGGACAAUGGGCGCAAGCCUGAUCCAGCCAUACCGCGUGGGUGAAGAAGGCCUUCGGGUUGUAAAGCCCUUUUGUUGGGAAAGAAAAGCAGCAGGUUAAUACCCCGCUGUUCUGACGGUACCCAAAGAAUAAGCACCGGCUAACUUCGUG